UUUCCGUGCUGGACCGUGUACAAGUCCUUUGGAACAAGGCGUCAUAGAGGGUGAGAAUCCCGUCUACGACACGGACUACCAGUGCUUUGUGAUACACUCUCAACGAGUCGAGUUGUUUGGGAAUGCAGCUCAAAAUGGGUGGUAAAUUCCAUCUAAAGCUAAAUAUAGGCGAAAGACCGAUAGCGAACAAGUACCGUGAGGGAAAGAUGAAAAGCACUUUGGAAAGAGAGUUAAACAGUACGUGAAAUUGUUGAAAGGGAAACGCUUGAAGUCAGUCGCGUCUUUCGGGAAUUCAACCAGGCUUUUGCCUGGUGUACUUUCCUGUUGGACGGGCCAGCAUCAGUUUUGGCCGCCAGAAAAAGGUGAGGGGAAGGUGGCACCUCCGGGUGUGUUAUAGCCUCUCAUCGUAUGUGGCGGCUGGGACUGAGGACCGCAGCAUGCCUUUAUGGCCGGGGUUCGCCCACGUAACAUGCUUAGGAUGCUGGCGUAAUGGCUUUAAGCGACCCGUCUUGAAACACGGACCAAGGAGUCUAACAUGCCUGCGAGUAUUUGGGUGGCAAACCCAUAUGCGGAAUGAAAGUGAACAGUUGGGACUUCUGUAUGGAAGGCACCGACGCCCGGACCAGACCUAUUGUGACGGAUCCGAGGUAGAGCAUGUAUGUUGGGACCCGAAAGAUGGUGAACUAUGCCUGAGUAGGGUGAAGCCAGAGGAAACUCUGGUGGAGGCUCGUAGCGAUUC
Molecule: ribosomal RNA, 739 nt
Filed under: Geastrum parvisporum
Lineage: Eukaryota; Fungi; Basidiomycota; Agaricomycetes; Geastrales; Geastraceae
Description: eukaryotic LSU rRNA
Rfam family: Eukaryotic large subunit ribosomal RNA
Source: RNAcentral